RNAcentral lists this ribosomal RNA (424 nucleotides) under uncultured bacterium. Its description in RNAcentral is "partial 16S ribosomal RNA". It matches the Rfam family "Bacterial small subunit ribosomal RNA", at positions 360 to 776 of the family's 1533-position model. The record is from RNAcentral.
AAUCUUCCACAAUGGGCGAAAGCCUGAUCGAGCAACGCCGCGUGAGUGAAGAAGGUUUUCGGAUCGUAAAACUCUGUUGUAAGGGAAGAACAAGUACAGAAGUAACUGGCUGUACCUUGAUGGUUCCUUAUUAGAAAGCCACGGCUAACUACGUGCCCGCGGCCGCGGUAAAACGUAGGUGGCAAGCGUUGUCCGGAAUUAUUGGGCGUAAAGCGCGCGCAGGCGGUACUUUAAGUCUGAUGUGAAAGCCCACGGCUCAACCGAGGAGGGUCAUUGGAAACUGGGGGACUUGAGUGCAGAAGAGGAGAGUGGAAUUCAAAGUGUAGCGGUGAAAUGCGUAGAGAUUUGGAGGAACACCAGUGGCGAAGGCGACUUGCUGGCCUGUAACUGACGCUGAGGCGCGAAAGCGUGGGGAGCAAACAGG